UGUUAGUGUAGUGUAACCUCUAAACUAGUGUAGUGUGUAAACUGGCGCAAAUGUUCAAGAAAUCGAAAAUAAAUUUUCGUCAAAGAGUCGCGACAAGUGAUUCUGACGCGGAAAAGAAUCACAUUGGAUUCUACCGGAGCCGAAAGAGCAAAAGAAACACAAAAUACCCAAAUCUUCCUUCGUGCUGACUGCUGAUUUUCGUCCACGAAGAAGGCGUCCAAAGGUUCACCUGACCACCACAACUCUUUUCGGAGUGUCUGAAGUUCGUGUACGUGCUGGGAAGCCACUUACAAUGAAACUGGGCAUUACCGGUUCUCCAACUCCCAUUGUCAUCUGGGCUAAAGAAGGAAAACCCAUUCCAAGGGCUCGCACCUCAUUACUAUACUACACUAGAGCUCCCAAAAGCAGAUCAUUGUGACACUGGAAACUACCUUGUGACUGUUGAAAACGAACAUGGCAGAGAUUCUGCAGAUAUUCCGGUCUUAGUUAUUGACAAGCCUGGACCCCCGGACGGUCCUUUGGAGGUCAGUGAUGCGUUUGCGGACUCCUGCCAAUUGGCUUGGAAACCACCUCAGGACAAAGGAAACUAACCAAUAAUCGUUGAGUCUUAUUAAUUACAAUUUUUAUUCUUUGAUUAAGGCUUGUUUACCAUGAAUACAACUAUUGAAAAUGAAAUUGUUGUUCUUGGGCAUAUUUUGUUUAGAAAUCAUUUUCAAUGAUUUAAACUGAACUUAUUUAAUGACAGAAAAUAUAUUUGUGUUAGUGUUUGACACAACAAUAUAUCUCUUAAGUUACCUAUUUCAUUCAAUUGAAAACAAUAUUCAAGUUUUAGAUGUUGCCACGUAAACCGAUUAUGGAAUGUACUCUUGAUUUAGGUUACACAGUAGAAAAAUUCCAGGAGGGCUUGUACUUCUGGGAAAAGGUGCCUGGCAUGCCGAUGUGCAAGUCCAUAAUAGUCACUGGACUGAAGACUGGAGUCAAGUUCAAGUUCAGGGUCAUGGCUGAGAACAUAUACGGAAUAGGAGAGCCCUUAGAGACAGAUUUCCCAGUGUUAGUCAAGAAUAGAUUUGAGUCCCCAAAGGUUCACCUGACCAACACAUCUCUUUCUUGAGCGUCUGAAGUUUGUGUAUGUGCUGGGGAGCCACUUACGAUGAAACUGGGCAUUACCGGUUCUCCUACUCCCACUGUCAUCUGGACCAAAAAAGGAAAACCCAUCCCAAGGGCGCGCACCUCCAACACUAAUGACUGUACUACACUAGAGCUCCUAAAAGCACAUCAUGGGGACACUGGAAACUACCUUGUGAUUGUUGAAAACGAUCAUGGCAGAGAUUUUGCAGAUAUUCCGUUCAUCAUUAUUGACAAGUGUGGACCCCCCGAAGGUCCUCUGGAGGUCAGUGAUGUGUUUGCGGACUCCUGCUGAUUGGCAUGGAAACCACCUCAGGACAAAAGAAACUUACCAAUUAUCGGUUACACAGUAGAGAAAUGCCAGGAGGGCUCAGACUUCUGGGAAAAGGUGCCUGGCAUACCGAUGUGCAAGUCCAGAAUAGUCACUGGACUGAAGACUGGAGUCAAGUUCAAGUUCAGGGUCAUGGCUAAGAACAUAUACGGAAUAGCAGAGCCCUUAGAGACAGACUGCCCAGUGUUAGUCAAGAAUCGAUUUGAGCCGGCUGCCAAGAAGACAGUAAUUUGGAAGAAGAUUCUGAAGAAGAUACACCAGUUGUUGAUACAGUUGCUCUGUCCACAGCUACAACCAACAAGUCCAAACCCACAACCAGCCAGUCCAAAGCCACAACCAGCCAGUCCAAAGUUUCAACCAAAGCAACAACCAGCUUUGUCGGAAAGAAAGCGCAGAAAAGAAAAAUGUGGUCUGUUGAAGAACAAGCUGCUGUUGAGCGACAACUGGGAAAAUAUCUUCACACUUCAAAGCUGCCAGAUAAACACGAGAUUGAGGAGAGCCGAAAAAAAGAACCUGUAUUGUUGAACAGACCUUGGCAACAAGUGAAAAGCUACAUUAAAAUAUGUAAAGUUUCAAUGCAGAGAAGAUUAAACAGUGCAAACUAAACAAGCUGUGUGUUUUGUGUCAAGCCAGCAGGGGUGAACUACUGGUUUAUUUCCUUGAAAAGCAUGUCUUAGUUACAAGGCUUAUUGUGUAUAAACAUUCAUCACUAUUUAUCUUUUGUUCGUAUUUUACAUUAACAUUCGACCUUGUACUCAUGUCCUUCGGAUUUUUUGUUGCGCAUAAUCAAAAAGGAUAAAUGCUAGGAAUGAAACUUUACAAACAUUAAUAUCCCAGCAUGAGAACUUAUUCCCCUGUGUAUUUUGGUCCUUUUUUCUACAUAAUUGGAGUUAUGAGACAACUGGAAUAUAGGGGAAUCAGUGUCCUUAGGACACGUGUUGAAUUGUUCUUUUUUAUCUUCAUUUUAUAUGCGUGAUGUGCUCACAUAAAGUUUUGUUUUAUUUUUGGGACUGCUUUUCAUGUGAGUCCAAUUUCUGUAUUAUCUACAUGUAGUGCUCCAUCAAGGCCUUAAUGGAAGGUUGCCCCGCCCUUCCUUUCCAAUGAUUUGUAACUUGAUUUGUAACAUUAUUGACAGUGUGUUAUGGCGCAUAUGUAGUAGCAGCUGUUUUUCUUAGUAUAAAUUACUUUUUUGGAUUUGUGUUGCAUAUUACUCAAAAGGAUUUACUGCUAGAGUAGUAUACAUAUAAAUGUAUUGAUCAGCAUCUGCACUUUUAUUAUACGCUUUUGUAACAACAGGCAUGUUCUUUGUUAAAUUUAUUUUGCAAAAGUACAACAAACCUUUAACCCACAAUGGUAUCUUUAAGCAGCUUUUAGCUCCAUAUUUUGAAGAAAUGGCUUUUCUUCUUGCCCCAUCUUCAGCCUUUGAACUACAUGUAGCUUAAAGUUAAAACUUUUUCUGUAAGCUAGUUUCAUGUGAUUUCAAUGUCUGUAUUAUCUACAUGCAGUGCUCCAGCUAGGCCUUAAUGGAAGGGUGUCCCGCCCUGCCCUUCCGAAGUCCCGCCCUGCCCUUCUGAGGCCCCGCCCUGCCCUUCUGAGGCCCCGCCCUGCCCUUUUAUUAAAAAAAUGAGUUAAUAGCUUUUUUUUAUCUCCUAAAGAUGUUUCAUUAAUAAACCCAUAUGUUUUGUGCUGGGUUACUUGUUUGAAUAAUUAUAUUUCGUCAAUAUAAUGAUAAAUUGAUGACUGUAAUUGGUUUAUGUGUGGACUAUUUCUUAAUAUUUGAUGUGUUUAAUUUCACUAAAUGUUACAAUUUAUAAGUUUCAAGAGACAUAUAUGUUGGAGUGUGUUAUUGUAUGAGUGUUGGUAUUUUUCGCCUCAUUACGUGUGGACAUGAAUGUCAAUAGAUUGGAAUUAGAAGAUGAUAAUGUCGUACAUGAUCUCAUGACCAUACUAUCAUUUUGUUUUGACUUAUUAAUAUAAUGCAACAUACAUGUCGUCUACUGUUAUUACAUAAAUAUAGUACAACAUACAUGUCAUCUACUGAAUGUAAUAAUUUGUUUGACAGACAUUUUGUGGAUUUUUCAAGACAGCAUAUUUUCCAAAAUACAUAAAGAUCACUUACGUAACUUUUUGCAUUCAAAAUAUUUCAGUGUUACAAUUAUGGUAACUGCUUCUUUCUGAUUGUUUUAAAAAAGACAUCUCAAUUGAGAGUUGUGUUUUGUUUUACAAAUUUUAUUUUAAUACUAAUAAGAAAAUUGGAAUACCGAAAAAUAUUUAUUAUUUUAAUAAAACAGUGUUCAGUAACACAAAAGCUGAUAAGUCAUAUAACUGACAUUUUUAGCUUUAUAAUAUUUAGUA
Molecule: long non-coding RNA, 3811 nt
Organism: Dreissena polymorpha
Lineage: Eukaryota; Metazoa; Mollusca; Bivalvia; Myida; Dreissenidae
Exons: 9
Source: RefSeq, a predicted model, not a curated record